RNAcentral lists this ribosomal RNA (213 nucleotides) under uncultured bacterium. Its description in RNAcentral is "partial 16S ribosomal RNA". It matches the Rfam family "Bacterial small subunit ribosomal RNA", at positions 1286 to 1500 of the family's 1533-position model. The record is from RNAcentral.
UCUCAGUUCGGAUUGAAGGCUGAAAUUCGCCUUCAUGAAGCCGGAAUUGCUAGUAAUGGCAGGUCAGCAUACUGCCGUGAAUACGUUCCCGGGCCUUGUACACACCGCCCGUCACACCAUGAGAGUUGGGAAUACCCGAAGCCUGUGAGCUAACGAAAGAGGCAGCAGUCGAAGGUAGAAUCAAUGAUUGGGGUGAAGUCGUAACAAGGUAGC